ACUCCUACGGGAGGCAGCAGUGGGGAUUAUUGGACAAUUGGCGAAAGCCUGAUCCAGCCAUGCCGCGUGUGUGAAGAAGGUCUUCGGAUUGUAAAGCACUUUAAGUUGGGAGGAAGGGCAUUUACCUAAUCCGUAAGUGUUUUGACGUUACCGACAGAAUUAACACCGGCUACCUCUGUGCCAGCAGCCGCGGUAAUAA
RNAcentral lists this ribosomal RNA (199 nucleotides) under uncultured Pseudomonas sp. RNAcentral describes it as "partial 16S ribosomal RNA". It matches the Rfam family "Bacterial small subunit ribosomal RNA", at positions 335 to 526 of the family's 1533-position model. The record is from RNAcentral. Lineage: Bacteria; Pseudomonadati; Pseudomonadota; Gammaproteobacteria; Pseudomonadales; Pseudomonadaceae.